RNAcentral lists this ribosomal RNA (161 nucleotides) under Acinetobacter baumannii. RNAcentral's name for it is "partial 23S ribosomal RNA". The stretch from base 1 to 143 matches the Rfam family "Bacterial large subunit ribosomal RNA", at positions 2788 to 2925 of the family's 2925-position model. Lineage: Bacteria; Pseudomonadati; Pseudomonadota; Gammaproteobacteria; Moraxellales; Moraxellaceae. The record is from RNAcentral.
GGAAGCCUACCUCAAGAUAAGAUUUCCCUAGGACUUUAUGUCCUCUAAAGAGCCGUUCGAGACUAGGACGUUGAUAGGUUGGAUGUGGAAGCAUAGUGAUAUGUGAAGCUGACCAAUACUAAUUGCUCGUGAGGCUUGACUAUACAACACCCAAGCAGUUG